GGGUCAGUAGGUUGGUCGUGCCACCGGUACGUACUGGUCUCACUGAUUCCUCCUUCCUGAAGAACCGUAAUGCCAUUAAUUUGGUGCUGCGGGGAAACAGGACUGUUACUUUGAAAAAAUUAGAGUGUUUAAAGCAAGCUAACGCUAGAAUACAUUAGCAUGGAAUAAUGGAAUAGGACGAUCGAUCCUAUUUUGUUGGUUUCUAGGAUUGACGUA
RNAcentral lists this ribosomal RNA (216 nucleotides) under Glomeromycotina sp. RNAcentral's name for it is "partial small subunit ribosomal RNA". The stretch from base 40 to 216 matches the Rfam family "Eukaryotic small subunit ribosomal RNA", at positions 686 to 864 of the family's 1831-position model. Lineage: Eukaryota; Fungi; Glomeromycota. The record is from RNAcentral.